This is a long non-coding RNA of Manis pentadactyla (Chinese pangolin), 1243 nucleotides long. RefSeq lists it as uncharacterized. The transcript is spliced from 3 exons. The record is from RefSeq and is a predicted model, not a curated record. NCBI's taxonomy places the organism in Eukaryota, Metazoa, Chordata, Mammalia, Pholidota, Manidae.
UUAACAUCUUAGAACGUUCUACUUAUCCAGGCAUCAAAGCCGAAUCUAUCAAAGGUGGCCCACAACCUCGUGGAGGCCCGACUCAAAGCAUCAGGAUCAUCCUAUUCGGGGUAGAUAGAGGUCACAUGCACAUCCAUUCAAUCUUUGACAUCCUUGUGCCUCCAUCCAAGAAGAAACUGAGAAGGCUCUCGGUGAGUUGAGCAGUUAUCAGAAGACACUGGAAGGAGAUCACCUCCAAUGGGGUUCCUGGCAACUGGGAAUAAAUCCAGGCUGCCAACCCAAAUGUGUGUGAACAGCCAGUCAUCACUCUUGUCUUGCUGUGCAGCUUCAAGAAGAUGAAUUGAGCCAAGUUGUCUGGUGCUCCUGUCACCCAGGUGAUUCCCCAGAGUCCCAUUCUGCUCUCUGCUCUCAAACUUCCCUAAAUCAACUGCAACAAAUGCAAGGUCUUUCUGUGGGUUCGUUUUCAUUAGAAGAAGGAAGAAGAGAGGGAGGAAGAGGAGGAGGAAAAGCCUGCCCAGGGCGUGUUCGGUGCUCUUUUUAAAGGAAGCGGAGAGCAUGCCCACUCAAGUGCUGUUGCAGGAUCUGGUUCCUCACAGGUUGGUGGACGGAGGGCCUCACUUCCUCGCUAGCUGCUGGCUGGGGCCUCCUUCAGUUCCUUGCCACGUGGACCUCUCCACAGGGCAGCUCACGCAUGGCAGCAGGCUUCCAUCAGGAGCAUGGGGCUGAAUGUGCUGCAAGCAAUAAACACGUAUUUGUUGAAUGAAUGGGCGGUAGAAUGAAUAAAUAUGAAUGAUGUGUGUGGACCAGAAUAUGGCUAAAGAUGUGGCACUCUUAAGAUAAUUAGUACCUUAAAUUACAAGACUUCUUCCUUACUCUCAGUAUGUUAUAUUUAAGACACAAUUUUUAUAGGAAAAACAGAAAGAAAUGGAUCGACUUAUUACCCUGCUUUUAAUGCACCAUUAAAUAGGUGCAUUAGGACCAUUUGGGUCCUAUUUAUAGUGUGUUCUCUGUAGCAGGGUGGAAAUGGGGUGGUUUUACUUUCCAGUGCGUAGGGACACGCUCUGAGAAGUGGAUAUCACGAUUCAUCAAAACAGAAGUGACACCAAGUUCAGUCUUCGAAUCACCUUCUCUCAUUCAUCUUAACAAAGAGUUUACAUUUCAUGCUGGAUCCUGAAACAAAAGUUUGCACAGGGGUCACCUGUCCCUCCGCCCAAGUGUGUUUCCUUCCAGAAGUGGGCAGGUU